UAUGCAUGGCUAACUAGCCACAUACUUCCACAUUUACUGAAGUGGUGAAGGGGCAGCAGUGAUUACUGCACAAUUUGUAAUACUUAAAACGGAGAAGGAAACCCUUCUGAUAGAGCUCAUAAACUUUUAAAGUUUGCAAGAGGGAUUCCCUCCUGAAACUUUCCUAAUGUUAGAGGAGAGUAUGUUCUGGUGGUGUCUAAUCAAAAAGUUGCAAUUAUAGGUUUUACACAAACUAUUGCCAAUUUGUUGAAAGACAGAGCUUUGAAACCCUGGACAAUGAGAUUCAUCACGUUUUUCUUUUAAAAACUUAGGAAAUUUCAUACGUUACCAUAAGGAGAACAAAGAAGUUUCCCAAGUAAGCAAUCCAAGCCAGAAAAUGCCAUACUUAAACUUUAAUUGUAUCCCCUUCUCUCUAUAUGCAUGAUACAAGUUCAAUUCCAUAAACUCAUUUCUCAAAGACACAAUACUAUAAAAUGCAAUAUGUAAUCUAUACAUAAGAGUCCAUGAAAAUAGUUUAUAUUAAGGAUAUACAUUAUAUUAAAAGAAUACAUAAAACUAUACCAAUGUAACAUACUGCAUAUUAAACAUACAGAUUAAUUCUGAACAUAUGCCCACAUCGAUUCACAAAACUAAAUUAGGUGUAAAUUAAUAGCCUUAUCCCUUGGAAUACACUUAAAAUUUAACAAAAUGGUAUGUAAUACAUUGGUGGUAAUAAAUUAAACAAGCCUUAAACAAAAUAUGAAAUGUUUAAAAAAAGUCAGAUAUACUAAACAUUUAGAAUACUGAAAUUAGACAAACAAAUGUAAAAAAUAAAAGUAUACAUAUACAUUAAAAUUAUAGAAAAAAUUUACUUGACAAACAGUAUUGUAAUAAAAGACUCAAUACACAAGGUAGAGGAGUUAUGAGUUGCAUAUGUAACUUUAAUUGUGGUGUUUCCUAACUUGUGUGUUUUUAAUUAUGUGACCUUAAUGUUCUCUUAAAUUUUGUCGAAGGGUUAUACCUAAGGGUUAAACUUGAUGCAACAAGAACCAGGAAAUUCAAAGUUAUGGACAAUGUCAAAUUUUUUUUUUUUUGGAGGGGUAAAUAUUCCUAUAAACCGCUAGUUUUCAAAUUGUAAUCCAUAGAGCAUUUGCUGAUUGUCCACUGCUUGCCAGAAACAUGGUGCAGGAUCUCAUCUUUGUUUAAAGCUGCUAAAUUGUAUUAAAAAGACAGCCAAAAAUACUUUAAAUAAUUUCCUAUUCCUUUUCAACAUAAGGAAAUCCUGCACUUGCUGUAGGGAUGUUAUACCAUCACACAGGGAGGUAGUCUAUGUGGUGAUGAAUGAGAAGGGAGGAGGUCAACAAGAAAUUAUUUUGAUAUAGUGUAUACUAGAAGAGGUUGAGAACCCACCAGUUUAACGAAAGUUUACAUUGACUAAACUAUAGCUUUUUAUUUAAUAAGACACUGCUCCAGAGCCUCCUCAUUAAUUAUUCUAGCUAACAUCUCUCAUUUCCUUUAUUAGCACAACAAACAUAACACAAUACGUGUUUAAUUUCCAUGUCUAUCCUGAUACUCCUAAGCAAGUAAAUUCUUCAACCUUGAAACAUCUGACUUUAAGAACCAAUAUUGCAACAAGUCUAUAGGGAAAUAGGAAUAUUAGGCAGCCAAGAGUGCUCCAUAACCAGAUAUAAAUUGAAAGUUCACGGUUUUGUUUUGUUUUUGUUUUUUUUGCUCCUCCUAACAGCAAAUUCUACAGAUCAUGAUGUCAAGUUUCUUCCCUCUGGCAAUCUAUGAACAAGUGGAAAAAAAAGCAAGUUCCAUGGUACAGAAGCCCUCUCCUAUUAUUACAGGAAUAAGGUCCAGGAGUUAAAGAAAAAUUGAAGUGAAUAUUUGUUUUUGCAGCAAUAAUAGCAAGAAAAUGAGUUUCCAGAACAGUUUCAGAAACAGCAAUCUGUUUUGGUAAAUAUUCAGCAGCAGAAUGUUGCUGGCCUCUAUUUUGUUACAUGGUGAAACUAGUCCUCUUGCAAUGAUGUAAGUUACAAUGAAUGAAAUAAGAACUCACCAUCUGAGUGCAUGAUAAAUGUGUAGAUAAAAGUUCCAUUUUAUUGGUUGAUAGAAACAGAUUUUAAGCCACUAAUUUAAAAGCCUUAGCAACUUUUGAGAGUUAUCUUUAUCGUAUAUUCAAAUAUUGAACUGUUAUUGCGUGCAUCAUACUCUUCAGUCUGUCAAGUUGUCCUUUCCCUGGGUAAUGGUUACAUUUAGAUUUUGAGGGG
Dermochelys coriacea (leatherback sea turtle) is the source of this 2252-nucleotide long non-coding RNA. RefSeq lists it as uncharacterized. The transcript is spliced from 2 exons. NCBI's taxonomy places the organism in Eukaryota, Metazoa, Chordata, Testudines, Dermochelyidae. The record is from RefSeq and is a predicted model, not a curated record.